Molecule: ribosomal RNA, 460 nt
Filed under: uncultured bacterium
Lineage: Bacteria
Description: partial 16S ribosomal RNA
Rfam family: Bacterial small subunit ribosomal RNA
Source: RNAcentral
CCUACGGGUGGCAGCAGUGCGGAAUAUUGGUCAAUGGACGAGAGUCUGAACCAGCCAAGUAGCGUGAAGGAUGACUGCCCUAUGGAUUGUAAACUUCUUUUAUAUGGGAAUAAAAUGUUCCACGUGUGGGAUUUUGUGUGUACCAUAUGAAUAAGGAUCGGCUAACUCCGUGCCAGCAGCCGCGGUCAUACGGAGGAUCCGAGCGUUAUCCGGAUUUAUUGGGUUUAAAGGGAGCGUAGGUGGAUUGUUAAGUCAGUUGGGAAAGUUUGCGGCUCAACCGUAAAAUUGCAGUUGAAACUGGCAGUCGUGAGUUGAGUAGAGGUGGGCGGAAUUCGCGGUGUAGCGGUGAAAUGCUUAGAUAUCAGGAAGAACUCCGAUUGCGAAGGCAGCUCACUGGACUGAAACUGACACUGAGGCUCGAAAGUGUGGGUAUCAAACAGGAUUAGAUACCCGAGUAGUC